GAUGAACGCUGGCGGCGUGCCUAGUACAUGCAAGUCGAGCGAACAGACGAGGAGCUUGCUCCUCUGACGUUAGCGGCGGACGGGUGAGUAACACGUGGAUAACCUACCUAUAAGACUGGGAUAACUUCGGGAAACCGGAGCUAAUACCGGAUAAUAUAUUGAACCGCAUGGUUCAAUAGUGAAAGACGGUGUUGCUGUCACUUAUAGAUGGAUCCGCGCCGCAUUAGCUAGUUGGUAAGGUAACGGCUUACCAAGGCAACGAUGCGUAGCCGACCUGAGAGAGUGAUCGGCCACACUGGAACUGGGCCACGGUCAAGACUCCUACGGGAGGCAGCAGUAGGGAAUCGUCCGCAGUGGGCGAAAGCCUGACGGAGCAACGCCGCGUGAGUGAUGAAGGUCUUCGGAUCGUAAAACUCUGUUAUUAGGGAAGAACAAAUGUGUAAGUAAAUGUGCACGUAUUGACGGUACCUAAUCAGAAAGCCACGGCUAACUACGUG
This 497-nucleotide ribosomal RNA is filed under the name uncultured bacterium. RNAcentral's name for it is "partial 16S ribosomal RNA". It matches the Rfam family "Bacterial small subunit ribosomal RNA", at positions 28 to 507 of the family's 1533-position model. The record is from RNAcentral.